Molecule: long non-coding RNA, 1041 nt
Filed under: Olea europaea subsp. europaea
Lineage: Eukaryota; Viridiplantae; Streptophyta; Magnoliopsida; Lamiales; Oleaceae
Source: RNAcentral
GUGUUACAUGUGAAAUGACAGCCUUUAGAUGAGGUGGCACGUGGCCUCAUCUCCUUAAUUCAAACAUCCAAUCCUAGGCACCAUCCUUGACUUGCUAGCUUGCUGCGCAUUUAUUACUUGUGCAGAACAUCCAUGCUGGUGAUAAGACUUGACAUAUGCACUCAUGAUAAACGUUCCAUCAAUCAUUCAAACAAGAUCUUUAUGUAGAAGAUCUCUUGGGAGAGAUGAUCAUGGAAGACGUUCGUUCAUGGUUCAGAGGUUUCUGCCGCUCAUGUAGUACUUCUGCUUCAGGGUUUCGGCAAUCUUCAUAGGCCUCGGUUUAAGGAGUUCGGCUACUUUCAAGGCCUCGGUAUAUGGGCCUCGGCCAUACAGCCCACUUCGGUUGGAGUGCCACGUGGUUCGAAUUGAGUGGGUCAUAGGCCCACGUAGGUUGGCCAAGUAUGAAAACACAUAACAAUAGUCCCCCAAAUCCAAGUAUAGUCAUUUAUGUGAUGCGUGGACUUUAAUGAAGUAAACCAGUAGGCUCACGUAGGUUAGCCAAGUAUGACAACACAUAACAAUGAAAUUUCCAAAUUAACAAAAAUAUUCUUUUUAUGGGGCAAGAAGGAGAUGUUGAUCAAACUUUAUAGAUUGCACAUACUCUUUUGCUUGAGAUUUUAAAGAAGAAAUUAAACUAUGAACAGAUCUGGGUAGGGGAAGAAGGUGAUAUUUUUACCAUUUUUCCAAAAUUGUUUUUAAUUUUUUAUGUUGAGUUAAUAUACAUUUAAUUGUUUUAAAUAAUACGUAUUUGUACUUUUUGAAAAUUUGCAAGACUUCAUGUGCAUUUUUUCCUUGGGGUCCAUUUGAUAACAAAGAUGGAAUUUGGGGGAAAAGAAAAUGAAUUCCAUGGAAUUAAAUUGGCUAAAAAUUAUUUUACUGUAAAUUGUCAAUUAUUGGUUUAAUUGGUAUAAUUUUUCACGUGAAAAAUGUUGAAAUUAAAAUAUUUUUUGGUGUUCGUUUUGUUUUGUUUUAUAUGAAAAUUGUCAAUUAAAAGGAUAGAAU